AAUAGCAACAGCUUCCUGAUUUUGCUUUUAAAUGGGAAUUCAUUGUUCUUGGCUUGUCAAAAGAAUUCAUGAAUCUGUGAAACCAAUACUUUUUCCAGGGAUUGAAGCAGCUACCGCGAGAGAAGGUGCAGUUAGCCACAAAAUUUGGUUUUGCGAAAAUGGAAGCUACUGGUGUCACCGUAAACGGUACUCCUGAAUAUGUCCGUGCCUCUGUUGAGGCUAGCCUUAAGCGCCUUGAUGUGGAAUACAUUGAUCUCUACUAUCAGCACAGGGUCGACACCACCACUCCAAUAGAGGAUACCGUAAGUGCUGGAGCAGAAACCGUCAAAGAUUUAUUACUUCCAUAGAUUUUCCUUAUUUCCAUACUCUCCUUAAUUGUGCGGCUAUGAUCUUUAGCUGGUUGAACUUAUAGUUAAGCUAUCUGCAUUUCACUUUCUUUCUUAGAUGGGUGAACUUAAGAAGUUGGUGGAGGAAGGGAAAAUAAAGUACAUUGGUUUAUCUGAAGCUAGCCCUGAAACUAUAACGAGAGCACACGCGGUUCAUCCCAUAACUGCUGUACAAAUGGAGUGGUCCCUCUGGACUCGUGACAUUGAGGAAGAAAUAGUCCCCCUUUGCAGGUUUCUUCUUGUAUCUUGAAUCAUUAGAACUAAAAAAACAGUAAAGUGUACUGGAAAUUCGAAGUUUGAACUUUAAACUUGAUAGUCGUUUUCAUUUCCUAAGUUACAUGUUGUUUGAGUACUGGACUUGAGACUCAAUAAACUGAGGCUAUCAACAAUUACUCUUUGUACUGCUGCAAGCCAAAGCAUGAGAAAUGCCUAUCUAAACAUGUUCACCUAUGCAGGCAACUUGGAAUUGGGAUUGUUCCAUAUAGCCCUCUUGGUCGGGGUUUCUUUGGUGGCAGAGCAGUUGAGGAAAGUGUGCCUGCAAAUAGUUUUCUGGUAUGGAAACUCAUCUAUUUAUGGCUCUAGCUACCCUUAAUCUUGUACAAUGACAAGCCUUUCUAACCGGUAGCUUGGUUGACCGAUUGCCAACUUCUACUCUUAAGAGAUUUUUCCCAAGGUUUCAAGGAGAAAACUUUGACAGAAACAAGAUCUUAUAUCUGAAAGUAAAGAAGAUGGCUGAGAAGCAUGGAUGUACCACUGCACAACUUGCACUUGCCUGGGUUCUUCAUCAAGGAGAUGAUGUAGUACCUAUUCCUGGUAAGUCCACAUUCUGUAAUUUUCAACAUCCACUUUCCCCUUCUUGAUAGCCCGCAGAUAUUUCAACCAACAAGGCCCUUUCUUUCUCAUUUUGUAGGAACAACAAAGACAAAAAAUCUUGAUGGCAACAUUGAUUCACUGAGGGUGAAGCUCACAGAAGAAGAUUUACAAGAGAUUUGUGAUGUGAUCCCCAUUAAUGAGGUAGGAGGCGCUCGUAUGCCGGAUGGUUUAAGUCAUCUGACGUGGAAGUUUGCUAACACACCACCAAAGGAUAGCAAGAUUUCAACUUAAAUUAAACUGAACGAUGGAUGCAAAAUCUGCAGCAGAAUAUGAUGUUUUUGGUGAAUGGACUCUCUCCAUCAACGGAAACUAUUGAAAGACUAGAAGUUUGUGUUGAUGAGUUAGUAAGCUUUGGAUACAAUAAUAAAGGGUUGUAGUUGGCAUUGUAGCUUUGCCGUUGAAUGCUUAUCAGAGAAAGAAUGCAUUUACUUGUAUUGUUUUUCUGUCUGUGCAUUGUUGGUGGUAAUCCCCAAUGCUUAUAAUUGUCAACGGCAAAGGUUAAGAUGCUGUAUAAGAACUAUGUUUUUAUUUAGUGCUCUAAUAAUAUAAUUCAUCUUGGUCUCAUCUUUUUUCUCAUUUUAACUUAGAUAUCUAUAUAUUUUCGUAAGUGAUUUCUGUAAUAAAUUAAACCCAAAACAUAAACAGGAAAGAUAAAUGUAAAUAAAAAAGGUAAAUUCAAAAAAUAUAUAUACAAUAAAAACAAAAAACAAUUAAAUUUUAUUGACAUGAUUUUUUUUGUAUAUACAACACAAUUGAGAUAAAAUGAACACAACUUUUAUUAUAUAUACGUGACCAAAAAAUCAUGUCAUGACUCAACUUCUCUUAUAUAUAUGGCUCAAUCUAGACUUGUGAUCAACAAAGGACCACAUUAGUAUUUUUAAUAUCUUAGCAUGAUGAUGCAUGUCAUCACAUAAUGAACUUCAUAUCAACAAAUUAUGAUACAUCAAUUUGAUCAAAAUCUCACGUCAAUAUUCUUAACGAUAAAAUUUAAUAGUGUUAAUAUUAAAAAUUUUAAAUUAAUAAAUUAAAAAAGUAUAAUAACUUAAUUUACAUGAAUUAUUAUUCAAGAUUAAAUCCAUAUUGUAUAAUUUUGCAUCUUAGAUUCUUUUUGUUGAAAUGCCAAGUGACAAGCUCCUAUUGAACAAUAACCUUCUACUUCUUGAAACAAAGACGUGAGAAAUGCGUAAUUAAAUGUGUUCCCCAAUGUAGGGAACUUAGGAUUGGGAUAGUUCCAUAUAGCCCUCUUGGUCGCGGUUUCUUUGGUGGCAGGGCGGUUGUGGAGAGUGUGCCUGCAAAUAGUUUUCUGGUAUGGAAACUCAUCAAUUUAUGGCUUUAAUCUACACUCAAUCUUGAUAGCUUGUUUUUCCAUAAAAAAUAAGGGCACCUUUUUGACUGAUUGGCAACUUCUUCUUUAAGAGUAGACAUAUUACCCAAGGUUUCAAGGAGAAAACUUGGACAGAAACAAGAACUUAUAUUUGCAAAUGGAGAAGUUGGCACAAUAUCAUGGAUGUACCCCUGCACAACUAAUUCUUGGCUGGGUUCUUCAUCAAGGGAAUGAUGUAGCACCUAUUCCCGGUUAGUCACAUUCUGUAUGUAUGCUCUUAGAUAGCAGACAAUACAGAUAUUUCAACUACAUCACAUUAGAAUUGACAUAAUUUACAAGUACAUAUCAUAAAUUUGCCUUGUUUGUUAUGUGCAUUAGAAAUAUGACUUUUGACCCUCGGUUACAUGUUCUUGUAGGUACGACCAAGAUCAAAAAUCUUGAUAGCAACAUUGAUUCUCUAACAGUGAAGCUCACAGAAGAAGAUUUAAAGGAGAUCACUGAUGUGGUUCCCAUAAACGAGGUAGCAGGGCCUGGAACGCUGGAUAGUUUUUUUCAGGUCUCAUGGAAAUUCGCUAAUACACCCCCAAAGGAGAAACAAGAUUUUAAGUUAAAGUAAUUAUGGAUGCAAAGCCUGUAGCAAAACAUGAUGCUUUUGGUUAAUGUACUCUCCUGCAACCGAGGCUAUAGAAAGCCUACAAGUUUGUACUGAUUUACUAAGCUUACCUUUAAAAAGGGUUCACUUAUAACCAGGCUACUAGCUGUGCUGUCGAAUGCAUGUGCUUGCUUGGUUUUUCUGUCGUUUCUUAGUUGCCGGCAAUUUUCCAAUGGUUAUUGUAGUUGUUACAACACUGUCUAAGAAGCUAUUUUAAUAAAUAUGCUUUUAUUUAGUGCUAUGAUUUAUUCUUCUUGAUAUUCUUUUUCCUCUCUAUGUAACCUGCUGCAACCAUAAUAACAGAAACCAUUGCAUCUACCGGAAGAAGAAUUUGGCAAAAAAAAAAUAUUUUUUUCAUUGUGACUUCCAUGGUCUGAAGGAAAUAGUAGGAAAUAUAGCAGCUCAUCUUGGCAAUGCAGGGUUAUUUUUUUUAUCUGAUAACAUGACUAUUCUGCAUUUUUGACUAAUUCUUUGCCUUUUGAAAGUAACAGUUCUUGGAACAUAAUUUUCACUGUUUCAACAAAGUAUUCCAAAAGAAUGACAUGUGGGGUGACAUGUUUACUGGCGUCACCAAGUUGAUAGACAAUUCAACUCAAAAUCAAGAUUCUGGAUAUAAGGCUGCUACUAUUUAUGCACAACAAGGACACUUGGCCGUCUAGUAGAUCGUUUAUUAGUUACUGGUUUUUGAGCUGUAAGCUAACAAGAGAAGCCUCAGCUCAAUAACACAACAUAAAAAGGGAACAGAAGAUGGUUGAGGAGCAGAAGAGAAUUCAAAUUCCUAGAAUGAAACUGGGAAAUCAAGGACUUGAGGUUAGAUUUUGUUCUUCUUAAGAGUAGUCAAGAGAAGGGUUGUUAUGAGUUGCAUAUAGAAUGUUUAUGAGGUGAUAAGCCCUGAAUUUUUAUUAAUCUUUACAACCGUUCCUCAGUUUUUGGUUGAACUGCUGAUAUGCAGUAUGUAAGGUACUGGAUAUUCUGAUUCUACUCUCCUAAAAACAUGCUAGGACUCAACUUUUUAAACUCAAUCAGAAUUUAACUUUCCAUCAAGUUCACACGAUUUCUUUCCCAGAACACUAUUUUCUAACACUCUCGUUUCUGAGAAUCCACUGUUUAUGUAGGUUUCCAAGUUGGGGUUUGGCUGCGCGGAACUUUCUGUUGUAGCCUACGGUGAUCCUCUCCCUGAUGAUGUUGGCAUAUCGAUCAUCAAGCAUGCUUUUGAUAGAGGAAUCACUUUCUUCGAUACAUCAGAUAGCUAUGGACCCAAAACUAAUGAAAUACUGGUUGGAAAGGUAACAUGCUUGGUCAAAUUGUCUAAAGUACUUUCAAGUUGAAUUGCAACAGCUUCCUGAUUUUGCUUUUAAAUGGGAAUCCAAACCCUUAAAUAAAUGCAUUUUUGUUUUAUCACAUUGAUAUGAUUCUAAUUGUUACUGCUCUUGAGUUGUUAACGAAAUUCAUGAAUCUCUGAAGCCAAUAUUUCUUUUCUCCAGGCAUUGAAGCAGCUACCGCGAGAGAAGGUGCAGUUAGCCACAAAAUUUGGUAUUGCAAAAAGGGAUGCUACUGGUGUCAUUGUAAAUGGUACUCCUGAAUAUGUCCGCACCUCUGUUGAGGCUAGCCUGAAGCGCCUUGAUGUGGAAUACAUUGAUCUCUACUAUCAGCACAGGGUCGACACCACCACUCCUAUAGAGGAUACUGUAAGAGCUGGAGCAGAAAGCAUCAAAGAUUUAUUUCUUCCAUAGAUUUCCUUAUUUCCAUACUCUCUUAUUAAUUGCGGGGCUAUCAUCUUUAGCUGGUUGAACUUAAGGUUAAGCUAUUUGGAUUUAACUUUCUUUCUUAGAUGGGUGAACUCAAGAAGUUGGUGGAAGAAGGGAAAAUAAAGUACAUUGGUUUAUCUGAAGCUAGCCCCGAAACUAUAAAGAGAGCACAUGCGGCUCAUCCCAUAACUGCUGUACAAAUGGAGUGGUCGCUCUGGACUCGUGACAUUGAGGAAGAAAUAGUCCCCCUUUGCAGGUUUCUUCUUGUAUCUUGAAGCAUUAGAACUAAAAAAACAGUAAAAGUUACUUGAAAUUCAAAGUUCGAACUCUUAACUUGAUAGUCAUUUUCAUUUCCCAAAUUAUACGUUGUUUGAGUACUGGUCUUGAGACUCACCUAUGCAAUCCAAGGCAUGAGAUAUGCCUAUUUAAAUGUCUUCAUUUAUGCAGGCAACUCGGAAUUGGGAUUGUUCCAUACAGCCCUCUUGGUCGUGGUUUCUUUGGUGGCAAAGCAGUUGAUGAAAGUGUGCCUGCAGAUAGUUUUCUGGUAUGGGAACACAUCUAUUAAUGGCUUUAACCUAUCUUUAAUCUUGUAUAAAGACAAGCCUUUCUAACCGGUAGCUUGGUUGACCGAUUGCCAACUUCUACUUUUAAGAGAUUGUUCCCAAGGUUUCAAGGAGAAAACUUUGACAGAAACAAGAUCUUAUAUCUGAAAGUAAAGAAGAUGGCUGAGAAGCAUGGAUGUACCACUGCACAACUUGCACUUGCCUGGGUUCUUCAUCAAGGAAAUGAUGUAGUACCUAUUCCUGGUAAGUCCACAUUCUGUAAUUUUCAACAUCCACUUUCCCCUUCUUGAUAGCCCGCAGAUAUUUCAACCAACAAGGCCCUUUCUUUCUCAUUUUGUAGGAACAACAAAGACAAAAAAUCUUGAUGGCAACAUUGAUUCACUGAGGGUGAAGCUCACAGAAGAAGAUUUACAAGAGAUUUGUGAUGUGAUCCCCAUUAAUGAGGUAGCAGGCGCUCGUAUGCCGGAUGGUUUAAGUCAUCUGACGUGGAAGUUUGCUAACACACCACCAAAGGAUAGCAAGAUUUCAACUUAAAUUAAACUGAACGAUGGAUGCAAAGUCUGCAGCAGAAUAUGAUGUUUUUGGUGAAUGGACUCUCUCCAUCAACGGAAACUAUUGAAAGACUAGAAGUUUGUGUUGAAAAGUUAGUAAGCUUUGGAUACAAUAAUGAAGGGCUGUAGUUGGCAUUGUAGCUUUGCCGUUGAAUGCUUAUCAGAGAAAGAAUGCAUUUACUUGUAUUGUUUUUCUGUCUGUGCUUUGUUGGUAAUAAUCCCCAAUGCUUAUGGUUGUCAACAGCAAAGGUUAAGAUGCUGUAUAAGAACUAUGUUUUUAUUUAGUGCUCUAAUAAUAUAAUUCAUCUUGGUCUCAUCUUUUUUCUCAUUUUAACUUAGAUAUCUAUACAUUUUCGUAAGUGAUUUCUGUAAUAAAUUAAACCUAAAGCAUAAACACAAAAGAUAAAUUAACAAAAUAUAUAUACAUUAAAAAGAGAAAACAACUAAAUUUUAUUGAUGUGAUUUUUUUAGUAUAUACAACACAAUUGAGAUGAAAUAAGUACGACUUUUAUUAUAUACACGUGAUCAAAAAAUCAUGCCAUGACUCAACUUCUCUUAUAUAUAUGGCUCAACCGAAACUCGUGAUCAACAAAUGACCUCGUUAGUAUUUUUAGUAUCUUAGCAUGAUGAAGCAUAUUAGUCACGUAACGAACGUCGUAUAAGCAAUAUAUGAUACAUCAACUUGAUCAAAAUCUCACGUCAAUAUUCUUAACAAUGAAAUUUAAUGGUGUUAAUAUUAAAAAUUUAAGUUAAUAAAUUGGAAAAGUACAAUAACUUAAUUUACAUGAAUUAUUAUUCAAAAUUAAAUCCAUAUUGCAUAAUUUUACAUUUUAGAUUCACCUUUUGUUGAAAUGCCAAGUGACAAGCUCCUAUUGAACAAUAACCUUCUGCCCUUCAGUUAAAAGUUGUUUACCUCUUUCCUUCCCGUCAAUCUCAAGUUUCCAAACCUUUUCCAACUUCCAACACAUUCAUCUUUAGCUGGUUGAACUUAAAGUUAAGCUAUUUGGAUUUAACUUUCUUUCUUAGAUGGGUGAACUCAAGAAGUUGGUGGAAGAAGGGAAAAUAAAGUACAUUGGUUUAUCUGAAGCUAGCCCUGAAACUAUAAAGAGAGCACAUGCGGUUCAUCCCAUAACUGCAGUACAAAUGGAAUGGUCGCUUUGGACUCGUGAAAUUGAGGAAGAAAUAGUCCCCCUUUGCAGGUUUCUGCUUGUAUCUUGAAUCAUUAGAAGUUAGAAAAAGUAAAGGUUACUUGAAAUUCGAAGUUCAAACUCUAAACUAGAUAGUCAUUUUCAUUUCCCAAGUUACAUGUUGUUUGAGUACUGGACUUGAGACUCAAUAAACUGAGGCUAUCAGCAAUUACUCCUUGUACUGCUGCAAGCCAAAGCAUGAGAAAUGCCUAUUUAAAUGUGGUCACCUAUGCAGGCAACUGGGAAUUGGGAUUGUUCCAUACAGCCCUCUUGGUCAUGGUUUCUUUGGUGGCAGAGCAGUUGAGGAAAGUGUGCCCGCAAAUAGUGUUCUGGUACGGGAACUCAUCUAUUUUUGGCUUUAACCUAUCCUUAAUCUUGUCUAAUGACAAGCCUUCAAACUGUUAGCUUGGUUGACCGAUUGCCAACUUCUACAGGGAAUUCUCCCAAGGUUUCAAAGCGAAAACUUGGAAAGAAACAAGAUCUUAUAUCUGAAAGUAAAGAAGUUGGCUGAGAAGCAUGGAUGUACCCCUGCACAACUUGCACUUGCCUGGGUUCUUCAUCAAGGAGAUGAUGUAGUACCUAUUCCUGGUAAGUCCACGUUCUGCAAUUGUCAACAUCCACUAUUAUCUUCUUGAUAGCCUGCAGAUAUUUCAACAAAAAAGACCCUUUUUCACAUUUUGUAGGAACAACCAAGAUCAAAAAUCUUGAUAGCAACAUUGAUUCACUCAGGUUGAAGCUCACUGAAGAAGAUUUAAAAGAGAUUAGUGAUGUGAUCCCCAUAAAUGAGGUAGCAGGGUGUAGAACGCUGGAUAGUUUUUUUCAGGUCAGUUGGAAAUUCGCCAAUACACCGCCAAAGGAGAACAAGAAUUCAUAAUCUGACACUAGCAGCAUGUGAAGAACAAGUGAAGAGCUUCAGCUUAGAAUGCAAAACGAUGGCGUUUCUUCAUCAGAAGUUCUAAGUUUUCAAAGUGUGCCGUUUUACUUCUUUUAUGUUUUAAGUUUGUAGUACUUAAAAUGAUGUUGCUCAUGUCGUUUUUAGCUUGGCUUAGUUAAGUCCUAUACGCUUCAUUAUAGUGUCGUUUUUGAGUCUGUUUUAAGGCUUAACAGCCAUGGCUUUCUGUUUCAAUUUUUUACUGUUGGUGGUCAUUGGUUUGUGUGUAGUUUGUUGCUGUGAUCCGAUUUGUCAGGAAAUGUUUUUGAAUUGUUAGAGUAUAUAUACAGGAAAUGAAAUGAAAUGAAGAGCUUCUUCCAGUAAGAAAUUUUCUGUUCAUAUUCACUGAAAUUCAGACUUCUCUGUUUUUAAGCUUUGUUAUUUUCGUUGCUUAGCUUUGCAGCUUAGCUUUCAAUUUUCUUCAAAGAUUUUAAGUUGAAGUAAUUAUGGAUGCAAAGAGUGCAGCAAAACAUGUGUCGAUGUAAGGCUUGCUUUGAAGACCAAGCAAAGACAGAGACAUUGAGGGCAGUCAAACUUUUGAUUUCUGUGUUGACAGAUUACUUUUUUUUCUUUCAGCAAUUGACAGGUUACUUGUAUUAGUGUAUCUGUCAGUAAGGCAUGGUUAGGCAUGAGAUUGGUUGGUCUUUUGUGUAUUUCAGUGUACAAGCUUGACUAGGAAGCCAUUUGUUUUCAUUUAUAAUAAUCAAUGAAUGAAAGACAAGGCACAUGUAGCCUUUCACAUUGCAAUUUUAUCUAUCUCUCGUUCUCUCUCUCUCUCUCUCUGCUCUUUCUUCUAUGUUGCAGCAAUAACUACUGAUCUAUUGCAGCAACCUUAUGCCUUAAAUACAAAUUACAACAACAUGGUUUUGGUUAAUGGACUCUCCCGCAACUGAGGCUAUAGAAAGACUAGAAGUUUGCAUUCAGUUACUAAGCUUACAUUAAAAAAGGGUUUAUUGAAAUGAAAGCAGGAGUCAGCAUUGCUGUUGAAUUCAUGUACUUGCUUGGUUUUUCUGUCUUUGCUUAGUUGCCAGCAAUCUUCCAAUGGUUUAUAGUAGUUAUUGAGAACACUGUUUAAGAUGCUAUUUUAAUAAAUAUGCUCUGUUUAAUGCUAUGAUUAAUUCUUCUUGAUAUUCUUUUCCCUUCUUUAUAACUUGCUGCAACCAUAUAACACAAACCAUUGCAUAUCCUGGAAGAAAAUUUUGGCCAAUAAAUAAAUAAAUAAAAAGAGAAAUUGCAAAAGGCACCAUUGGUAUAUUUCAUUUGAUGUACUAUAGUCUGCUCUAAUAUCAAUCAUACGCAUAUUUAUAACAGUGACAAUACCAUCCUAAACAAACAGCUCACUAUAUUUUUUCCAAUGAUAUUCAUGCAGUUAUACCAAUACGCGCAUAUUUCAUUAGUGAAUUCUGUUAACAAAAUUUUUUACUUACAUGGUCUGAAUGAAAAAGUAGGAAACAGAGCAGCUCUCUUGGCAAAGUCGGGUUAUUUUUCUAUCGGAUAACAUUUUUUGGUACAUUUUCUAUCUGACAUCAUGACUAUUCUGCACUUUUGACUAAUUAUUUGCCUUUUGAUAGUAACACUUCUUGAAACACAAUUUCCAAUGUUUCAGCAAAGUAGUCAAAAAGAAUGACGUACGGGGUGACAUAUUUAGAAUUGAUGACCUGUUUAGUGGCGUCACCAAGUGACAGACAAUUCAACUCAAAAUCAAGAUUCUGGAUACAGAGCUGCUAAUAUUUUUACUCUGCAAGUAUACUUGGCAGUCUGCUAAAUCUUUUAUUAGUUACUGGUGUUCUAGGAGCUGUACGCUAACAAGAGAAGCGUCGGUUCAGUAACACAAGAACAUAAAGAAGGAACAGAAGAUGGCUGAGGAGCAGCAGAGAAUUCAGAUUCCUAGAGUGAAACUGGGAAAUCAAGGACUUGAGGUUAGAUUUUGUUCUUCUUAGAAUAGUCAAGAAAAGGGUUGUUUAGGAGUUGCAUAUAGAAUGUUUUUGAGGUCAUAACUGAUAAGCCCUGAAUUUUUAUAUUCUUUACAACUGUUCCUUGGUUUUGGGUUGAACUGCUGAUACACAGAAAGUAAGAUACUGGAUUUUUUGAUUCUACUCUGUAAAAAACAUGCUAGAACUCAACUUUUUUAACUCAAUCAGAAUUUAACCAUUUCAAUCAAAUUCACACGAUUUCUUUCCCAGAACAGUAUCUACUGUCUACCUGUCUCAUUUCUGUUGUAAAAUCCACUGUUUCUGUAGGUUUCCAAGUUAGGGUUUGGCUGUGCGGGACUUUCUGGAGCCUACAGUGAUCCUCUCCCUGAUGAUGUUGGUAUAACGAUCAUCAAGCACGCUUUCGAUAGAGGAAUCACUUUCUUCGAUACAUCAGAUUUCUAUGGACCCAAAACUAAUGAAAUACUGGUUGGAAAGGUAACAUGCUUGGUCAAAUUGUCUAGAGUAUUUCCAAGUUGAAUAGCAGCAGCUUCCUGAUUUUGCUUUUAAAUAGGAAUUCAUUGUUCUUGGCUUGUCAAAGGGAUUCAUGAAUCUGUGAAACCAAUACUUUUUCCAGGCAUUGAAGCAGCUACCGCGAGAGAAGGUGCAGUUAGCCACAAAAUUUGGUAUUGCGAAAAUCGAUGCUACUGGUGUCAUAGUAAACGGUACUCCUGAAUAUGUCCGGGCCUCUGUUGAGGCUAGCCUGAAGCGCCUUGAUGUGGAAUACAUUGAUCUCUACUAUCAGCACAGGGUCGACACCUCCACUCCAAUAGAGGAUACUGUAAGAGCUGGAGCAGAAAGCAUCAAAGAUUUAUUUCUUCCAUAGAUUUCCUUAUAUCCAUACUCUCUUAUUAAUUGCGGGGCUAUCAUCUUUAGCUGGUUGAACUUAAAGUUAAGCUAUUUGGAUUUAACUUUCUUUCUUAGAUGGGUGAACUCAAGAAGUUGGUGGAAGAAGGGAAAAUAAAGUACAUUGGUUUAUCUGAAGCUAGCCCCGAAACUAUAAAGAGAGCACAUGCGGUUCAUCCCAUAACUGCUGUACAAAUGGAGUGGUCGCUCUGGACUCGUGACAUUGAGGAAGGAAUAGUCCCCCUUUGCAGGUUUCUUCUUGUAUCUUGAAGCAUUAGAACUAAAAAAACAGUAAAAGUUACUUGAAAUUCAAAGUUCGAACUCAUAACUUGAUAGUCAUUUUCAUUUCCCAAGUUAUACGUUGUUUGAGAACUGGACUUGAGACUCACCCAUGCAAGCCAAAGCAUGAGAAAUGCCUAUUUAAAUGUCCUCAUCUCUGCAGGCAACUCGGAAUUGGGAUUGUUCCAUACAGCCCUCUUGGUCAUGGUUUCUUUGGUGGCAAAGCAGUUGAUGAAAGUGUGCCUGCUGAUAGUUUUAUGGUAUGGGAACUCAUCUAUUAAUGGCUUUAACCUAUCCUUAAUCUUGUAUAAUGACAAGCCUUUCUAACCGGUAGCUUGGUUGACCGAUUGCCAACUUCUACUUUUAAGAGAUUGCUCCCAAGGUUUCAAGGAGAAAACUUUGACAGAAACAAGAUCUUAUAUCUGAAAGUAAAGAAGUUGGCUGAGAAGCAUGGAUGUACCACUGCACAACUUGCACUUGCCUGGGUUCUUCAUCAAGGAGAUGAUGUAGUACCCAUUCCUGGUAAGUCCACAUUCUGUAAUUUUCAACAUCCACUUUUCUCUUCUUGAUAGCCUGCAGAUAUUUCAACUAACAAGACACUUUCUUUCUCAUUUUGUAGGAACAACAAAGACAAAAAAUCUGGAUGGCAACAUUGAUUCACUGAGGGUGAAGCUCACAGAAGAAGAUUUACAAGAGAUUUGUGAUGUGAUCCCCAUGAAUGAGGUAGCAGGCGCUCUUAUGCCAGAUGGUUUAAGUCAUCUCACGUGGAAGUUUGCUAACACACCACCAAAGGAUAGCAAGAUUUCAACUUAAAUUGAACUGAACGAUGGAUGCAAAGUCUGCAGCAGAAUAUGAUGUUUUUGGUGAAUGGACUCUCUCCAUCAACGGAAACUAUUGAAAGACUAGAAGUUUGUGUUGAAAAGUUAGUAAGCUUUGGAUACAAUAAUGAAGGGCUGUAGUUGGCAUUGUAGCUUUGCCGUUGAAUGCUUAUCAGAGAAAGAAUGCAUUUACUUGUAUUGUUUUUCUGUCUGUGCUUUGUUGGUAAUAAUCCGCAAUGCUUAUGGUUGUCAACAGCAAAGGUUAAGAUGCUGUAUAAGAACUAUGUUUUUAUUUAGUGCUCUAAUAAUAUAAUUCAUCUUGGUCUCAUCUUUUUUCUCAUUUUAACUUAGAUAUCUAUACAUUGAGAAGAGAAAACAAUUAAAUUUUAUUGACAUGAUUUCUUUUGUAUAUACAACACAAUUAGGAUAAAAUGAACACUGAUUUUUAUUAUAUACAAUACAAUUGAGAUAAAAUGAACACGACAUUUAUUAUAUACAACACUAUUGAGAUAAAAUGAGCACAACUUUUAUUAUAUACACGUGAUCAAAAAAUCAUGUCAUGACUCAACUUCUUUUAUAUAUAUGGUUCAAUCGAAACUCUUGAUCAACAAAGGACCACAUUAGUAUUUUUAGUAUCUUAGCACGAUGAUGCAUGUUAGUCACAUAACGAACGUCAUAUAAGCAAUAUAUAAUACAUCAAUUUGAUCAAAAUCUCACGUUAAUAUUUUUAAAGAUAAAAUUUAAUAGUGUUAAUAUUAAAAAUUUAAGUUAAUAAAUUGAAAAAGUACAAUAACUUAAUUUACAGAAUUAUUAUUCAAAAUUAAAUUUAUAUUGCAUAAUUUUACAUUUUAGAUUCACCUUUUGUUAAAAUGCCAAGUGACAAGCUCCCAUUGAACAAUAACCUUUUGCCCUUCGGUUAAAAGUUGUUUACCUCUUUCCUUCCCAUCAAUCUCAAGUUUUCAAACCUUCUCCAACUUCCAACACAUUCACAAUCUAAGUAACAGAACAAAAGAAUUUGAAUGAUGAUUUGAUCACUUUGAAUUUUUAUAACUCUUAACUCGAAUUAAUUUCAAUGAUAAACUCAAAAUCAAUUUGAAGUGUUUAUGUUCAACUAUAACAUGAGAAUUUAUUUCGAUAAAAAAGAUUUUGCAAAACUCACAAGUUAUAUAAGUCAAAAUUUUGAAAAAUUAUUAUAAACGUAAUUCGAUUUUUAAAUUUUCAAUAUCAACGAAACAACUUUGAACCUUCGAUUUUCUUAAUAGAAAAAACCUUUAAUUGAAUCAUUAAAACUAAAUUAAAGAACACAUUUCAUAUUAUAAAAAUAUUUAAAAAAACAACUCAAAACAUUAUCGAAAUAUGAAAUUCCAGUAAAUUAAAGUUGAAUAAUCAAAACUGUCAAAAAUAAGUUUUCAAUCAACUUAAUAAAUUCAUCUCUCUACCCAAUUACAAAAACCAUUAAAAAAAAUUUUCCACAACCUUCCUAUUGGUAGCCAUUAUACUGUUGAAAAAUAUUGAAACGGUAUUAAUUUUGAACGAAAAUUAAAAAAAUAUAAAAUAAAGUUAGGAUUUUUAUUAAAAAUUAGGCAAAAUACAAGAAUUUCGUAAUUUAAAACAUAAUGUUAACUUAAAAAGAAGGGAUUUUCUCUCGACUUACACCCUCAAUCUUUCUACUAAUAUUUUCUUUUCAAACGAAAGUCGGUUUUCUCUUUAAAAGAAACUGUCGUAUAAUGGUUGAUUACCUAAUAAUUUUCUAAUAAGCUUUUAAAAUAAAAGAUAUUUUAUUGUAAGUCUAACCCUAAUUCAACAAGGGAAGUAUUUGUCAAAUUUGAAUUUUGUGUAAUACAUUAGUUAAUUUAUCAGUUGCGAGUGCAUUACAGUAAACUAAUAAGAGAAGCCUCAGUUCAAUAACACCAGAGCAUAAAAAAAAAAAGGAAAGAUGGUUGAGGAGCAGCAGAGAAUUCAGAUUCCUAGAAUGAAACUGGGAAAUCAAGGACUUGAUGUUAGACUUUGUUCUUCUUAAGAGUAGUCAGGAGAAGGGUUGUUAUGAGUUGCAUGUAGAAUGUUUAUGAGGUGAUAAGCCCUGAAUUUGUAUUAAUCUUUACCAGUGUUCCUCAGUUUUUGGUUGAACUGCUGAUAUACAGAAUGUAAGAUACAGGAUAUUCUGAUUCUACUCUGUUAAAAACAUGCUAGAACUCAACUUUUUUAACUCAAUCAGAAUUUAACUUCCAAUCAAGUUCACACGAUUUCUUUCCCAGAACAGUAUCUGCUGUCUAAGUCUCUCAUUUCUGUUGUAAAAUCUACUGUUUCUGUAGGUUUCCAAGUUGGGGUUUGGCUGUGCGGGACUUUCUGGAGCCUACAAUGAUCCUCUCCCUGAUGAUGCUGGCAUAUCGAUCAUCAAGCAUGCUUUUGAUAGAGGAAUCACUUUCUUCGAUACAUCAGAUAUCUAUGGGCCCGAAACUAAUGAAAUACUGGUUGGAAAGGUAACAUGCUAGGUCAAAUUGUCGAGAGUAUUUUCGAGUUGAAUAUCAACAGCUUCCUGAUUUUGCUUUUAAAUGGGAAUCCAAACCCUUAAAUAAAUGCAUUUUUGUUUAUCACAUUGAUACCAUUUUAAUUGUUACUGUUCUUGGGUUGUUAAAGAAAUUCAUGAAUCUCUGAAACCAAUAUUCUUUUUUCCAGGCACUGAAGCAGCUACCACGAGAGAAGGUGCAGUUAGCCACAAAAUUUGGUAUUACAAAAAUGGAUACUACUGGUGUCAUGGUAAAUGGUACUCCUGAAUAUGUUCGCGCCUCUGUUGAGGCUAGCAUGAAGCGCCUUGAUGUGGAAUACAUUGAUCUCUACUAUCAGCACAGGGUCGACACCACCACUCCUAUAGAGGAUACUGUAAGAGCUGGAGCAGAAAGCAUCAAAGAUUUAUUUCUUCCAUAG
Molecule: long non-coding RNA, 15053 nt
Filed under: Theobroma cacao (cacao)
Lineage: Eukaryota; Viridiplantae; Streptophyta; Magnoliopsida; Malvales; Malvaceae
Description: long non-coding RNA (TCAC_LNC003588)
Source: RNAcentral